GAUGAACGCUGGCGGCGUGCCUAAUACAUGCAAGUCGAGCGAACGGACGAGAAGCUUGCUUCUCUGAUGUUAGCGGCGGACGGGUGAGUAACACGUGGAUAACCUACCUAUAAGACUGGGAUAACUUCGGGAAACCGGAGCUAAUACCGGAUAAUAUUUUGAACCGCAUGGUUCAAAAGUGAAACACGGUCUUGCUGUCACUUAUAGAUGGAUCCGCGCUGCAUUAGCUAGUUGGUAAGGUAACGGCUUACCAAGGCAACGAUGCAUAGCCGACCUGAGAGGGUGAUCGGCCACACUGGAACUGAGACACGGUCCAGACUCCUACGGGAGGCAGCAGUAGGGAAUCUUCCGCAAUGGGCGAAAGCCUGACGGAGCAACGCCGCGUGAGUGAUGAAGGUCUUCGGAUCGUAAAACUCUGUUAUUAGGGAAGAACAUAUGUGUAAGUAACUGUGCACAUCUUGACGGUACCUAAUCAGAAAGCCACGGCUAACUACGUG
Molecule: ribosomal RNA, 497 nt
Filed under: uncultured bacterium
Lineage: Bacteria
Description: partial 16S ribosomal RNA
Rfam family: Bacterial small subunit ribosomal RNA
Source: RNAcentral